This 468-nucleotide ribosomal RNA is filed under the name uncultured bacterium. RNAcentral describes it as "partial 16S ribosomal RNA". It matches the Rfam family "Bacterial small subunit ribosomal RNA", at positions 28 to 507 of the family's 1533-position model. The record is from RNAcentral.
GACGAACGCUGGCGGCGUGCUUAACACAUGCAAGUCGAACGGAAAGGCCCUGCUUUUGUGGGGUGCUCGAGUGGCGAACGGGUGAGUAACACGUGAGUAACCUGCCCUUGACUUUGGGAUAACUUCAGGAAACUGGGGCUAAUACCGGAUAGGAGCUCCUGCUGCAUGGUGGGGGUUGGAAAGUUUCGGCGGUUGGGGAUGGACUCGCGGCUUAUCAGCUUGUUGGUGGGGUAGUGGCUUACCAAGGCUUUGACGGGUAGCCGGCCUGAGAGGGUGACCGGCCACAUUGGGACUGAGAUACGGCCCAGACUCCUACCGGAGGCAACAGUGGGGAAUAUUGCACAAUGGGCGGAAGCCUGAUGCAGCAACGCCGCGUGCGGGAUGACGGCCUUCGGGUUGUAAACCGCUUUCGCCUGUGACGAAGCGUGAGUGACGGUAAUGGGUAAAGAAGCACCGGCUAACUACGUG